AGWGUUUGAUUAUGGCUCAGGAUGAACGCUGGCGGUAUGCUUUAUACAUGCAAGUCGUACGAGAGUUUUUAACUCAAGUGGCGGACGGGUGAGUAACACGUAAGAAUUUGCCUUUAGGAGGGGGAUAACAACUGGAAACGGUUGCUAAUACCCCAUAUGCCUUUAAGUGAAAUGGAUUUUUCCGCCUAAAGAGAAGCUUGCGGCUGAUUAGCUUGUUGGUAAGGUAAUGGCUUACCAAGGCGACGAUCAGUAUCUGGUUUGAGAGGACGAUCAGACACACUGGAACUGAGACACGGUCCAGACUCCUACGGGAGGCAGCAGUAGGGAAUUUUCCGCAAUGGGCGAAAGCCUGACGGAGCAAUACCGCGUGAGGGAUGAAGGCCUAUGGGUUGUAAACCUCUUUUUUCAGGGAGGAACAAAAUGACGUGUACCUGAAGAAUAAGCAUCGGCUAACUCCGUGCCAGCAGCCGCGGUAAGACGGAGGAUGCAAGCGUUAUCCGGAAUCACUGGGCGUAAAGCGUCUGUAGGUGGUCAAAUAAGUCAACUGUUAAAUCUUGAGGCUCAACCUCAAAAUCGCAGUCGAAACUAUUCGACUAGAGUAUAGUAGGGGUAAAGGGAAUUUCCAGUGGAGCGGUGAAAUGCGUAGAGAUUGGAAAGAACACCGAUGGCGAAGCACUUUACUGGGCUAUUACUAACACUCAGAGACGAAAGCUAGGGUAGCAAAUGGGAUUAGAUACCCCAGUAGUCCUAGCUGUAAACAAUGGAUACUAGAUGUUGAACAGAUCGACCUGUGCAGUAUUAA
This 802-nucleotide ribosomal RNA is filed under the name uncultured bacterium. Its description in RNAcentral is "bacterial SSU rRNA". It matches the Rfam family "Bacterial small subunit ribosomal RNA", at positions 8 to 849 of the family's 1533-position model. The record is from RNAcentral.